Molecule: ribosomal RNA, 228 nt
Filed under: uncultured bacterium
Lineage: Bacteria
Description: partial 16S ribosomal RNA
Rfam family: Bacterial small subunit ribosomal RNA
Source: RNAcentral
CGGGUGAGUAAUGCAUCGGAACAUGUCCAAUCGUGGGGGAUAGCCCGGCGAAAGCCGGAUUAAUACCGCAUACGCCCGAGAGGGGAAAGCCGGGGACCGCAAGGCCUGGCGCGAUUGGGUUGGCCGAUGUCCGAUUAGCUAGUUGGUGGGGUAAAGGCUUACCAAGGCGAUGAUCGGUAGCUGGUCUGAGAGGAUGAUCAGCCACACUGGGACUGAGACACGGCCCAG